GUGGGGAAUUUUGGACAAUGGGCGCAAGCCUGAUCCAGCAAUGCCGCGUGUGUGAAGAAGGCCUUCGGGUUGUAAAGCACUUUUGGCAGGAAAGAAAUAGCGCGUGCUAAUACCAUGCGCGAAUGACGGUACCUGCAGAAUAAGCACCGGCUAACUACGUGCCAGCAGCCGCGGUAAGACGUAGGGUGCAAGCGUUAAUCGGAAUUACUGGGCGUAAAGCGUGCGCAGGCGGCUUUGUAAGACAGGUGUGAAAUCCCCGGGCUCAACCUGGGAACUGCACUUGUGACUGCAAGGCUAGAGUGUGUCAGAGGGAGGUGGAAUUCCGCGUGUAGCAGUGAAAUGCGUAGAGAUGCGGAGGAACACCGAUGGCGAAGGCAGCCUCCUGGGAUAACACUGACGCUCAGGCACGAAAGCGUGGGGAGCAAACAGGAUUAGAAACCCCUGUAGUCC
RNAcentral lists this ribosomal RNA (450 nucleotides) under uncultured bacterium. RNAcentral describes it as "partial 16S ribosomal RNA". It matches the Rfam family "Bacterial small subunit ribosomal RNA", at positions 354 to 796 of the family's 1533-position model. The record is from RNAcentral.